Molecule: ribosomal RNA, 465 nt
Filed under: uncultured bacterium
Lineage: Bacteria
Description: partial 16S ribosomal RNA
Rfam family: Bacterial small subunit ribosomal RNA
Source: RNAcentral
GACGAACGCUGGCGGCGUGCUUAACACAUGCAAGUCGAACGGAAAGGCCCCUUUGGGGGUACUCGAGUGGCGAACGGGUGAGUAACACGUGAGUAACCUGCCCUUGACUUCGGGAUAACUUCAGGAAACUGGGGCUAAUACCGGAUAGGAAUCCUUGCUGCAUGGUGGGGGUUGGAAAGCUUCGGCGGUUUUGGAUGGACUCGCGGCUUAUCUGCUUGUUGGUGGGGUAGUGGCUUACCAAGGCUUUGACGGGUAGCCGGCCUGAGAGGGCGACCGGCCACAUUGGGACUGAGAUACGGCACAGACACCUACGGGAGGCAGCAGGGGGGAAUAUUGCAAAAUGGGCGGAAGCCUGAUGCAGAAACGACGCGGGCGGGAUGACGGCCUUCGGGUUGUAAACCGCUUUCAGCAGGGGAGAAGCUUGUGGUGACGGUACCUGCAGAAGAAGCACCGGCUAACUACGUG